GCAGCGUUGGGCCGAGCGCUUCCCUGGGCCCCAAAAAACGGGCAGGGGUCCCAAAAAACGGCCAGGGGUCCCAAAAAAUGGGGGGAUCCCAAAAAACAGGGCGCCACCCCAAAGCCCCUCAGGAACCACCCCAAAAACCGCCCCAGACCACCUCAAACCCCUCAGAAAAAUCCCAGAAACACCCUCGGAAAACACCCCCAAAAAAACUCCAAAAAAUCCCAAAACACCCCAAACCUCUCAGGGUCCACCCCAAAACCCCCCCUAGGCCACACCAAACCCCUCAGGGGCCACCCUGAGCCCCCCAAGACCACCCCAAGACCCCUUGGGGGCCACCCCAAACCCCUCAGGAACACCCCAGAAACACCCUCAGAAAACCCCCCAAAAAAAUCCCAAAAACUCCCAAGAAAUUCACCAAAAAAGCCCCAAAAAUCCCAAAAAACCCCAAAUCCCCCAGGACCACCCCAAAACCCCCCAGGAUCAUCCCAAAAGCCCCAGGAUCACCCCAGACCCCUCAGGAACACCCCAGAAACACCCUCAGAAAAUAUCCCAAAAAAUCUCCACAAAACCCAAAAAAAACCCCAAAAAGCCCCAAAACACCCCAAAACCCCCCUGGACCACCCCAAACCCCUCAGGGGCCACCCCAAAACACCCAGGACCACCCCAAAACCCCCCCUAGGCCACCCCAAACCCCGCUGGACCACCCCAAACCCCUCAGAAACACCCCAGAAACACCCUCAGAAAACCCCCCAAAAAAAUCCCAAAAACCCCCAAGAAAUUCACCAAAAAAUCCCCAAAAAUCCCAAAAAACUCCAAACCCCACUGGACCAUCCCAAAACCCCCAGGAUCACCCCAAACCCUGCAGGACCACCCCAAACCCCUCAGAAACACCCUCAGAAAACCCCCCAAAAAACCCCCAAAACCCCCAAAAAAUCCCCAAAAAUCCCCAAAACCCCCAAAAAACCCCAAAAAAAUCCCCAAAAACCCCCAAAACCCCCAAAAAUCCCCCAAAACCCCCAAAAAUCCCCAAAACGCCCCGUGGGCCUUACGCAGGUAGCACGGCCGGACGUCCUGCUCGCCGUCCGGCGCCGCGCCGUCCUCCUCCGCGGCGCCCUGCGGCGGGACACGGGACCGUGUCGGGACGUGGGGUUAUCGUGA
RNAcentral lists this long non-coding RNA (1155 nucleotides) under Lonchura striata (white-rumped munia). Its description in RNAcentral is "domestica (Bengalese finch) lncRNA (ENSLSDG00000003128.1)". The record is from RNAcentral. Lineage: Eukaryota; Metazoa; Chordata; Aves; Passeriformes; Estrildidae.